This 74-nucleotide transfer RNA is filed under the name Bifidobacteriaceae bacterium. RNAcentral describes it as "tRNA-Met". It matches the Rfam family "tRNA". Rfam says of the family: Transfer RNA (tRNA) molecules are approximately 80 nucleotides in length. The record is from RNAcentral. Lineage: Bacteria; Bacillati; Actinomycetota; Actinomycetes; Bifidobacteriales; Bifidobacteriaceae.
CGCGGGGUGGAGCAGCUCGGUAGCUCGCCAGGCUCAUAACCUGGAGGCCAUAGGUUCAAAUCCUAUCCCCGCUA